GGUGUGGUGGGUGCUUUGUGCCAUCUCCUGUUUCCCCAUCAGGUGCAGGAGCAAAGUGGAAAAGUCCUGCGGAGUUUUUCUUCUCUGAUACAGGGGACGCACAAGCAAAUGAUCUUUUUCUGAGAAAACACAUUGAGAGCAAUUUCCCGACCCCCACCCCUCUAAGGUCCACCCAGGACCCCUAAGGUUCUCCAGGCUGCUGGCUGGAAAACUGACCUUUAAAACUCUUGUUCAUGUACAGCCACAAUUUCAGUUCAAUUCCAGCCUGGCCUGGCAUGGAAAACCAGAAAGUUCCUGUAAGAAAUAUUUUUAAGGGUCUGCAUACCUCACAGGAAGCCUUCAGAUUGCAAACAUGUGUCGAAACUGCUGACUUGGAGCAAAUGGAUCAAAUUACUCAGUCUGGAUUGGAGAGCCUGAUUUCUGCACCAGGGAGGCUUGCUAUGUGAAUGUGCGCCAGGUUGAAUGGAGUCUCUGGCUUCAGAUGGAUUCAAGCUGAAAGAGGCUUCUUUUGCCAUGAGCCCUUCAAGCAAAGACAAGAAAUAAUCUUAUUGCUCUUUUCACAUCCCAAGUACCUGACACAAAGGAAGGUGGAGGAAAGACAGUCAGUGGCUGUGGAAUUGCAGUAUACAUGCAAUAGGGCCUGCCUUCUCUUCAAGCCUUCCUCAACAAGCUUUGGUUUUCUUCUUUUAAGCUUCAGAGAACAUUUAAAAAGCACACAGCAACAGUAAUUUCAUCAGCUUGUGAAAGAGGAUGUCAAAAGAGAAAAACCAGGGCAGAGUUGACACAAAUAAUCAGAGGAUGUCCCCAUUAUAAUUACAGCAACAUGGAUUGAGUUAUGCCAGCCCCUGAGAUGAAUUUGAUUUCCUCAUUACACGUGUAAUCUUAAUCAUCCUCUCAGCAUCCCUUUUCUGUUUGGUAUUUCACAUAUGGGUCUGAUGUCUCCCUGCUUUGUAGUUGGUAAAAACUAAUCUUCAGAAUGGGCUAGUGGCUUGAGCCAUCUCACAUAGCAAGACAGGCACUGAGAGGUGGGCAUAAAAUAAGCACGAUUAGCUUUUAAUUACUUCAAUAAAGUCAAGAGCUCACCAUUACCAGAAUAUCCUAUUAACUAUUUAUUGAACCUUUAUUGUGUGCCAAGAACUUUACAUGCAUUAUCCUUUCUCCCAAUCUUUAUUUUGAAAACAUUUAAAAUCUGAACAGCUGGAAGAAUAUACAAUGAAACAUCUAGUUUCACUAAUGGAUUUAUUUUGUACACCUAGUUCCUUACAGUUAGUUUCACAUUAUUGUCUUAUUUCUCUCUAAAUGUAUUGGAAAACAUUUAAUAACAUGACAUUAUGACUUUGCUCCUAAAUACUCCAGCAUACAUCUCUUCAGAGGAAGAGCAUUCUCUUACAUGACUAAGGUACAAUGACCAUACUCAGGAAAGGUAACAUUGAAAUAAUUUCAUUAUCUGUUACAUAAUCCUUAUUCAAAUUUUCCCUAUUUUCUCAAUAACUCCUCCCUCCCUCCCUCCCUCCCUCCCUCCCUCCCUCCCCACUUCUCUCCCUCCCUCCCUCUCUUACUCCCCUUUUUCUCAAUUCUGGACCUAACAGAGGAUCACACAUUGCAUUUACUUUUUGUAAUUAGAAUCACUUCCCAGCCAUUCCCCUCAACCCUGUUUCAUGACAUUGACAGUUUUGAAGAAUUCAAGCUACUUGUUUUGCAAAAUGCCUUUAGUUUAGAUUUGUGUGAUAUUUCCUCAUGGAAAGAUUCAGGUUAAAUAUUGUUAGCAAGAAUAUUGCAUAAGUGAUAUUGUGUCCUCCUUUCAUCCCAUCGAGGGCAUACAAUGUCAUUGUGUCCCGUCACUGAUGACGUAUAAUCACUAGGCUAAGACAGUGUUUGCCAGAUUUCUACCAUGUGGAGCUACUGUUUUCCUUCGUAAUUAACAAGUAAUCUCUAGAGCGAUACUUUGAGGUUGUGUGACUACCCCCCAUCAGGCUUUUGUCUAGUGUUUUUAGUAUCCACUGGUGAUAAGUAUUUAUUAUCAUUUUAAAGUCUCACCAUAACCCUGUGAGGUAGAUACUAUUAUGAGUCAUAUAUUUACAAUGAAGAAAUUGAGUUUUAGAGAGAUGAAGAAACUUACCCAAGGUCUCACAGCUGGUGAAGGACAGAGCUGAGAUUCCAGCCCACAUCUGGCUGUCUCUAAAGCUAGUGCUUUCCCUACUACGCUGCACUGGCUGAAAGUAGAGUUUCGUAUCUCACUUGCCCUAGACAAGGCAAGAGAAAAGUGAUAGUCAAGAUCAUAUAAGACACAGUUUAUUUCACCUCUCAACAAGUCUCUUUCCUCUUAUUUCCUAAACACUUUUCCCCCCACAAAGCCAGAUGCCUCUCAGUUCACUCUUGUCUGACUGUUAACCUGGAAUGUGGUGAAUAAAUUACGUUUUAGUCCAAUGGACCUUACGAUGUGGAGUUCUGCUCUGAUUCCAUCCCACGGUGCCCAGGAUCAGCUGCUUGCCAGCGCCACACUGGGAGUGAUGGUUGUUCAUUCUUAACCAGCAUUCAUUAUCCUCCUGCUGUAUGCCAGAUCCUGUGCUGACUAUAAUGGGAAUUAAGCAAAAAGAAACACAGUGUCAGCCUUGAAGGAGGCCACUGUUCAGCUGACCGAUGGCACAGUUCAGGUCAAUUAGGAAACAUCUGCUUACCUACCAGUGAACUGAUGUAAUGACUUCAUACAGCGUGGCUUUAGGAUAUGCUGGACUUCCCAGGUUCAUCCAUGUCCCUACAAAGGACACGAACUCAUCGUUUUUGAUGGCUCGGAUUGUAGAGAAAGGCCAGGCGAGUCACGCUCCUAAACAGCUCAUCGGGUCCCAGGAGCCGCUUCUCCACCUUGUUCCUACAUCCGCCCGCCGACUUCGCCGGAUCCGAGGUUCUGCAACUUGUCUCCUCCGGCUUGAUGUUAUCCUCCUUGUCCGAGGAGCCUGAGCUGCUGCUCCCGGACACCGCGAAAUAGCUCAGAGGGUCCUUCUCCUUGGCUGCCAUGACGGCUGCCUGGGUUCAUUUCUCUUGAUUUCCUUCCGCUUUCAGAUUGUAGCACUACCACAUUUCAUUGUCUUGAUCGUCUUUCAGUUGACUUCAAACAAAUAUUGUUGUAUGUUGUCCAGUUUUUUUUAGUUCUCCAGGGAGUCAAGUUCAGCACCAACCUAGCAAGUACAUACUGGAGGUGGAACUCUCAACAAUACAACAUUUUUUUGUGGGAAAAAAAGCUGUACGUGCUGUAUGGUACAAGCUUAGUUAAAACUAAAAGCAUGUGAUAUGCGCUAUGGCUUGUGUGUUUCCCCAGAUUUCAUGUUUUUGAGACUUGAUCCCUGAAUUCACAUGUAGACGAUAUUUGCAGGUGGGGCCUUUGGGAGAUAACUAGGACUAGAUAAAGUCAUCUUAUCUAAUGGGUCAAGGGGCCCCACGAUGGAACGAACUGGUGGGUUAAUAAGAGGAGAAAGAGAGACCUGAGUUGUCAUGCCCUUGCCCUCUCGCCGUGCUGUGAGGCAGGAAGGAGGCACUCACAAGAUGCCAGCACCUUCAUGUUAGACUUCCCGGACUCCAGAACUUGAGAAAUAAAUUUCUUUUCUUUAUAAACGAAA
This is a non-coding RNA of Callithrix jacchus (white-tufted-ear marmoset), 3614 nucleotides long. Lineage: Eukaryota; Metazoa; Chordata; Mammalia; Primates; Cebidae. The record is from RefSeq and is a predicted model, not a curated record.